Gallus gallus (chicken) is the source of this 844-nucleotide long non-coding RNA. The record is from Ensembl. NCBI's taxonomy places the organism in Eukaryota, Metazoa, Chordata, Aves, Galliformes, Phasianidae.
GGAAUGUAGGAAAGUACAGUUCUGGUUAAUUCACAACUACUUUAAAGAAGACAUGAACUUCGAAAAUAGAUGUAAUUAGAAGGCUGACAUAAAUCAAGGAGCUCUUCCCUGCCUGCACUGCUAUGUUUUCCUUAUACACCGCAGCAGGAGGAUUUACUUUUCGUCAUUUUGACAACUGAGACAACGUCUGUGAAACAGCUAAUCUUUGCUUAUGAGAGAGUCCAUCCAGCCACAGAAGAAAUUUGAUGAGUGGAAAGCCAGAAAGAAAUCUGCUGGUAUUGCAGUAAGCUGGUCCUGCGGAGAUGAACGGUAUUCCUUGUCCUCAAGGCACAGCAAAUGAAACAAGCUGCUCCUCUCUCCAGCUGGGAGUUGCUGAAGGUUAAGCUUAUUAAGUCUGGAGACCUGCUGAGAAGGGAAUGAAGAGCUCACCCAAAGGCAAAAAGUCAGAAAAUGUUUCUUGGGAGAAGAAAGCCAAGGGGAGGAGAGAAUGGCAGGCUACACCCUGCUCUGCUAACGCUGGCAAAACAACGUCAGCAUCCUCUUCUAGGACUGUGUUGUUGGCUGCAGGAGUCUCCAGUCCAGACACUGCACUGUACAAAACAAAUAUCGAAUAUCGAAUAAAAGGUGGAAAUACAUCCCAGGCAACCAAAGAAUUUCCUCCUAGACCUGAUUAGUCUUAUCAGAAAGCUAAUGAUGAUGCCUCUCUGUCUGAUACAUAGGAUGAAAUUACUUAAGUGAGCAGAUAGGAGUAACCAUUUUGGACGUGUGAAGCAAAGAAUGCAUUGUAAUCCAAUGUGUUCCAAGAAGCUGGCAUUCCUGAGGUAGGAAUUUAUCUGCCAUUAUG